GGAGUUCCCACUCCACUCCAAGGAUCCAAGAGCGCACAAGCUGCUCUUCACGGGCAACUACCUCUGCAAGCUUCACCCCCGGCUCUGCCACGCCCCACAGGGUUCCCUGUCUGGUCUGGAUCACCUCGCUCUCCCUGCGCCUCUCUCCUUGGCCUAGCUCGACAAGUGCCUCCCGCGAUCCUGCGCCUCUACCCCUCGGUUUCGUCGCCGCUAAGGGGUGGUGGUGUCUGAUCCAUCAGGCUCUGCGCUCCUCCUUCGGAUCCAUCCUCAAUGUCCAGGCAGGACUCUCACAUGAAGCCGGUGCUGUCUGCUGUUCACUCUAAGAUGCUCAGCCACUCAGGACAGUUACGAUCUGUCAUCCAGGGCGCGAACCGACUCUCCUCCAUUGCUAUCUGAGUAGGCAGUCUCCUCUGUGAGGUCGGUCCCAUCCUUACUAUCUAGAUCCCUGCCCAGGAAGACUGAGAUGAGGACCCUAGGAGAGAGCAGCCAGGCAUAGUGAAGGUGGAGGAUGAGUAUAAAUAGUGAUCCCAGCGCGAUCAGAGAAGCUCCCCUGCCCCCACCCAUCGCAGUGGGAGUGAGUCAUCAGAUCUAUCCCCAAGACAAGAAAGUCCUAACUUCAUUCCCGUGCAGUCCCGGGCCAUUGAAGGGAAACCUCCACUCCAACCCCCGGAAGACGCCUUAGAUGAGAAAGUGAAGAGAUAUUGUAUGAGCUCAUUCAUCAAAAGCCAUGCCAACACCAGCUCAGGCAGUGCUGCUAGGGGUUUCCUACCUUUCUGGAGGUCCAGUUCUCUCUGAAGACAGAGAAGAUGAAGGGAAGAAGGGUUUCAAACAGGAACUCUCAACCCACGUCUGCCAGUUGUAGACUCUGUAAACAAAGUUCCAACUCAUCUGCUGCUGCCACUGCCGCUGCUAUUUUUUGAGGUCAAGAUUCUUCCACCUGUAUGCCCAUCUUCACGGACCAGCCCACCACUGGUGCCUCAAGCAUUUUCACUAUUACAGCCAGUAAUCUGCAGACAUAACCUCAAGCCUACUUUGUACUUUGGUAUAAACUACAUGGAUACCAAUCCUUUUUCACAGGUUUUCAUCUCCUGGUCUCCCCUAGGACCCAGGAUGAGUAUUCCCCCAUUUGACCAGUUCCAUCCCAGUAUGGAGCAGAUAUCCCUUGUAAGGAAUGCAGUCUCCACCAGCCCACCUGUUUUUAUGGUCAACAGCCCUACCUGAAUUUCCAACAUUGCCUUUUGACCCAGGAAACACCUGUCAGCUGAAAUCUAGGGUUCCUGACAGGCCUCAACAGGAAACCACUCUCUUCAAUGCCCUAUCUUUUCUGGCCUUCCUACCACUGCUUCUGCAGUCACUUCCACUAUAGUAAGCAGAUCCUCUUCAGACUGCCUUUGACUCUGAUGAAAUCAACAUGGAUACCAUGCCCAUUUCCCCAUCUGUUAUCUUCCUGUCUCUCCCUGCAACAUUAACAGCUGUUUCCCUUUGAAGAACCUGGCAGCCCCCCAAAACCCUUCAAACUUAACCAGUGACAGCACCACUCUGUCAGCUUUUGGGAAUUUGACUCCCCCAUGUCCACCUUUGGCAUCUGCUAUGGUUUGAAUGUGUCAACCAAAUUUCGUGUAUUAAAAACUCAAUCCCCAAA
Macaca mulatta (Rhesus monkey) is the source of this 1642-nucleotide non-coding RNA. The record is from RefSeq and is a predicted model, not a curated record. NCBI's taxonomy places the organism in Eukaryota, Metazoa, Chordata, Mammalia, Primates, Cercopithecidae.